Molecule: ribosomal RNA, 1534 nt
Filed under: uncultured bacterium
Lineage: Bacteria
Description: bacterial SSU rRNA
Rfam family: Bacterial small subunit ribosomal RNA
Source: RNAcentral
AGAGUUUGAUCCUGGCUCAGAACGAACGCUGGCGGCGUGCUUAACACAUGCAAGUCGAACGAGAAAGUUUUCUUCGGAAAACGAGUAAAGUGGCGCACGGGUGAGUAACGCGUAGAUAACCUGCCUGGAUGUCUGGGAUAACCCUUCGAAAGGGGGACUAAUACCGGAUACGCUGGUUUCUCAUAAGGGGAAUCAGGAAAGAUGGCCUCUGAUGUAAGCUAUCGCAUUUUGAGGGGUCUGCGUACCAUUAGCUUGUUGGUGGGGUAACGGCCUACCAAGGCGACGAUGGUUAGCGGGUCUGAGAGGAUGAUCCGUCACACUGGCACUGAAACACGGGCCAGACUCCUACGGGAGGCAGCAGUGAGGAAUAUUGCGCAAUGGGGGAAACCCUGACGCAGCGACGCCGCGUGAGUGAGGAAGGCCUUCGGGUCGUAAAGCUCUGUCAGAAGGGAAGAAGUGUUCAACGGUUAAUACCCGUUGGAUUUGACNGGUACCUUCAAAGGAAGCACCCGGCUAACUCCCGUGCCAGCAGCCGCGGUAAUACGGAAGGGUGCAGGCGUUGUUCCGGAAUCACUGGGCGUAAAAGGGCGCGCAGGCGGUUUUAGUUAGUCAGAUGGGAAAGCCCCCGGCUCCACCCAUGGAAAUGCAUUUUGAAACUGUCAAACUUGAGUCCCGAAGGGGAAAGUGGAAUUCCCGGUGUAGAAGUGGAAAUUCGUAAAAUCCCGGAAGAAAACCAGAGGCGAAGGGGACUUACUGGCACGAUACCCACCCUGAAGCCCGGAAACGGGGGGGACCAACAGGAUUAGAUACCCUGGUAGUCCACGCCGUAACCGAUGUCAACUAGGUGUAGGGGGUGUUGAUACCCCUUGUGCCGCAGCUAACGCAUUAAGUUGACCGCCUGGGGAGUACGGUCGCAAGAUUAAAACUCAAAUGAAUUGACGGGGGCCCGCACAAGCGGUGGAGUAUGUGGUUUAAUUCGAUGCACCGCGAAGAACCUUACCUGGUCUUGACAUCCACGGAAUUCUUAGGAAACUAGGGAGUGCCUUCAUUCGAAGGAGCCUUGAGACAGGUGCUGCAUGGCUGUCGUCAGCUCGUGUUGUGAAAUGUUGGGUUAAGUCCCGCAACGAGCGCAACCCUUGCCUUUUGUUGCCAUCGGCUCAGCCGGGAACUCAAAAGGGACUGCCGGUGUCAAACCGGAGGAAGGUGGGGAUGACGUCAAGUCCUCAUGGCCUUUAUGACCAGGGCUACACACGUACUACAAUGGCCGAUACAAAGAGCAGCGACACUGCGAAGUCGAGCCGAUCCCAUAAAUUCGGUCGUAGUCCGGAUUGGAGUCUGCAACUCGACUCCAUGAAGUUGGAAUCGCUAGUAAUCGCGGAUCAGAAUGCCGCGGUGAAUACGUUCCCGGGCCUUGUACACACCGCCCGUCACACCAUGGGAGUCGGUUGUACAAGAAGCAGUUGAGUUAACCGCAAGGGGGGCGUUUACCACUUUGUGAUUCAUGACUGGGGUGAAGUCGUAACAAGGUAACCGU